AAGGUUUUAAGUUAACUAAACUAGUAACCUUCAAAGUUCCCAACAAGAGUAUAAAUCUCUUAAACCUUA
RNAcentral lists this transfer RNA (69 nucleotides) under Macrobrachium rosenbergii (giant freshwater prawn). RNAcentral's name for it is "tRNA-Trp". Lineage: Eukaryota; Metazoa; Arthropoda; Malacostraca; Decapoda; Palaemonidae. The record is from RNAcentral.